ACAUACGCUCAAGCAACCUACCCGAACUCUCAGCGGGCCACCGAUUGAGUUCCUAUUUGGUCUUGCUACGAGUGGAGUUUACCCUGCUGUGGAAUGUUACCACCCACACGGUGCGCUCUUACCGCACCCUUUCACCCUUACCGACAAAGCCGGCGGUCUGCUCUCUGUUGCACUGGUCGUAGGCUCACGCCCCCCGGACGUUAUCCGU
RNAcentral lists this unclassified non-coding RNA (208 nucleotides) under Pasteurellaceae bacterium I47. RNAcentral's name for it is "partial RNaseP". The record is from RNAcentral. Lineage: Bacteria; Pseudomonadati; Pseudomonadota; Gammaproteobacteria; Pasteurellales; Pasteurellaceae.